This 580-nucleotide ribosomal RNA is filed under the name Bacillus sp. CH111b_4T. RNAcentral describes it as "bacterial SSU rRNA". It matches the Rfam family "Bacterial small subunit ribosomal RNA", at positions 59 to 619 of the family's 1533-position model. The record is from RNAcentral. Lineage: Bacteria; Bacillati; Bacillota; Bacilli; Caryophanales; Bacillaceae.
CAGUCGAGCGAAUGGAUUGAGAGCUUGCUCUCAAGAAGUUAGCGGCGGACGGGUGAGUAACACGUGGGUAACCUGCCCAUAAGACUGGGAUAACUCCGGGAAACCGGGGCUAAUACCGGAUAACAUUUUGAACUGCAUGGUUCGAAAUUGAAAGGCGGCUUCGGCUGUCACUUAUGGAUGGACCCGCGUCGCAUUAGCUAGUUGGUGAGGUAACGGCUCACCAAGGCAACGAUGCGUAGCCGACCUGAGAGGGUGAUCGGCCACACUGGGACUGAGACACGGCCCAGACUCCUACGGGAGGCAGCAGUAGGGAAUCUUCCGCAAUGGACGAAAGUCUGACGGAGCAACGCCGCGUGAGUGAUGAAGGCUUUCGGGUCGUAAAACUCUGUUGUUAGGGAAGAACAAGUGCUAGUUGAAUAAGCUGGCACCUUGACGGUACCUAACCAGAAAGCCACGGCUAACUACGUGCCAGCAGCCGCGGUAAUACGUAGGUGGCAAGCGUUAUCCGGAAUUAUUGGGCGUAAAGCGCGCGCAGGUGGUUUCUUAAGUCUGAUGUGAAAGCCCACGGCUCAACCGUGGA